Molecule: long non-coding RNA, 1226 nt
Organism: Cyprinus carpio carpio
Lineage: Eukaryota; Metazoa; Chordata; Actinopteri; Cypriniformes; Cyprinidae
Source: Ensembl
GCCAUGUUACUUUAAUUCCUCACAAUCAAUUAUUUAUGUGCAUUAAUAAACAAGAGUUUGAAAAUCAAAAAUAUGGUCAGUUACGUGCAGCAUAGAUCCUGAAGUAGAUCUUCAGGGCAAAAUGUGGUGAGAACUGAAUCUACUCUGUAGGAGGAGCAGCAAAAAACAGCUUUCAUCACACUUCAAGAUGGCAGACAGCAGACAUUUCUGUGCAUUAUAAUGAUUAGAUGAAGUGUUUAAGGUGGCACACAGCUCUCAGAUGUGUGUGUGUGUGUGUGUGUGUGGUUAAGGAGGCGGCUGGGAUUCGGAGGCUGGGAGCAGCUGUACUCGUGACUGAAAUGAAAACAGAAAUGAACGAGGCUGUCAGGCCUCUGAUGUAUGACUUGUAAUGGGAUGUUUCCAAACCUCCUUUCUCCAUAUGGCUGCCGACACAAUCAGAAACACCCACCGCCUACAGAGCCAGGGACUCUCAGAGCAAUACAUCUGGUACACAGACACUCACACUUACACACAUGCCAAACAAACACACUGAUUCACUGUCUCCUAUUGUGGUGACCUGCUUAAAAUAUUCACCUUUAGUCAAAAGUCAGAUGUUCAUAGAGAAGCAUUACAACGCAAACAUUAUCUGAAUUGAAGUUCAGGUGACUCCUUGAGUCUUCACGCCUCACCCUCGCACUAAACUCAUCAUCCUCACAUCUGCACCAAACAUGUGAGUCCUGCGGCCGUGUUCAGACAUUUCAUUCUUCCCACACUCACUAUUCACGGCUUAACUCAAUCAAGUUCUCCUACAUCUGUUUGUCUGUCAGCUCUCCAACCUUUUGUGAAAUCUCAGCCUGUCUGUUAUUUUUUGCUACGUCCUGUGCGGCGACUCGGAAGUGCUACUCUAAGUAAAUGUCAGUUUGAAUUUAUCAGAAGCCGAACUGUUAUAAACACUUCCUGACUUUCAGAGACCUCAAUGCUCUCCUGAGUUGCUCUCACAGGAAACCACAGGAGGAGACAACGCUGUGUCUCAUGAGCUUGUCUAGGCCGGCCUGUUUGCUCUCAUUGUUUUGGCUGUGGAACAGACUUUUAAGCACUAACAGUGACCUCCAUCCACACCUGAAAGACCCACAACAGGAAGUAUCAUCCAUUCGCUCUCUGACCUCUUCUAAAGAGGUGGACACACUCGGCUGUCCAUGACCACAUCCUCUCAGGCGAACAGCCCUCACAUUGAGACCCAAGAGCCC